GGGGCUGACUUGGAUUUCGACAGAUUUCUUGUCGCACAGAUAGCAUGCCAAGCGCUGCUUGUAAAACAGCAAUAAAAAUAACUGUAAACAACGCAGAUUACGCUCCAGCUUACGCUAAAGCUGCGUGAGUUAAUCUCCUUUUGGAGCUGGAUUGAUUAGAAUUUCUAGCGUUUUAAUCACUCCAUAACCUUAAGCUAGACGCUUUUAAAAGGUGGUUCGCCUUUUAAACUAAGAAACAAGAACUCUUGAAACUACCUCAAGGUUUUAGAAAGUUGGACCAGAGCUAGUUUUAAGGCUAAAAAACUAACCAAUUUUCUAAGCAUUGUAGAAGUUUGUGUUUAGGACAAGAUUUUUGGACUGGGGUUCGAUUCCCCACAGCUCCACCA
This 386-nucleotide transfer-messenger RNA is filed under the name Helicobacter pylori. It matches the Rfam family "transfer-messenger RNA". Rfam says of the family: Bacterial tmRNA, also known as 10Sa RNA or SsrA, is named for its dual tRNA and mRNA-like properties. Its role is to liberate the mRNA from a stalled ribosome. RNAcentral also lists the same sequence under 1 other name. Lineage: Bacteria; Pseudomonadati; Campylobacterota; Epsilonproteobacteria; Campylobacterales; Helicobacteraceae. The record is from RNAcentral.